Molecule: ribosomal RNA, 478 nt
Filed under: Automate aff. dolichognatha BOC-043
Lineage: Eukaryota; Metazoa; Arthropoda; Malacostraca; Decapoda; Alpheidae
Description: partial 16S ribosomal RNA
Rfam family: Bacterial large subunit ribosomal RNA
Source: RNAcentral
CCUGCCCGCUGGGUUUCUGAAGGGCCGCAGUAUUUUGACUGUGCAAAGGUAGCAUGAUCAGUAGUCUCUUAAUUGGGGGCUUGUAUGAAUGGUUGGACGAGAGGAGAGCUGUUUCGAGAAUUAGGAUUGAAUUUAACUUUUGUGUGAAAAGGCGUAAAUGAGUUGGUGGGACGAUAAGACCCUAUAAAACUUAACAGGGUAGUUGUUGUUAAUGAAGUAAGGUUUAAAUUUGAUUGUGAUGAACUUGUUGUGUUGGGGCGACAGGGAUAUAGAGAAAGCUGUCUUUUAUACUGAAUAGGGGUUGCUAGGUUUUGAUCCUUUAAGGUGAGGAUUUUAAGAUUAAGUUACUUUAGGGAUAACAGCGUGAUCUUCUUUGAGAGUUCAUAUCGACGAGAUGGGUUGCGACCUCGAUGUUGAAUUAGAGUUUCCCCCAGGUGCAGAAGUCUGGGAGGUAGGUCUGUUCGACCUUUAAAACUUU